AUGCUGAAUUAUUUAAUUGAGGCACAAGGAGGAGUUCCUGAACCAGAGAAACCUCAAAUCCAGGUAUCUAUUCCCAUUCAUCAAAGCACUGAACAAGGUCUCAACAAUAAAUCCCCAAACUGUCCAUCAUUUCAGCUCCAUGUGAAUAUUGGAGUGGAAUCUGGGUUAAAUAGAACAGAAACAAAAAUUUCACAGUCACUUAUCCCAGGUAAGCAGUCACAACCUGGGGACAGCCCCCAAAUCCUUGAAACCAGGCCCUUAGUUACAUCUUUGGGCACUCCACCUCCCAAAAGUUUAGGAGCUGACAUAAUUCAGGAGGAAACCACUUUACUGCAGAAGGAGCCAAAACAUGUCCUGGAACCUAAUAUAGAGCAGAGGGUCAUAGAUCUUCCAGAAAAAAGGAUACAACAGCAUAAGACCCACGUGACUAAUGUGGAGUUGACACCAAGGCUACCAUAUCAAGUUGCAGAUAGCAUAAAGGUAACUCCUUUGGCAUUACUUCAAGUCAUGGAUUCAAUGGGGCUGAUCCCAGAAUCACAUUCAGAAGUGAUAGAAUCUGUGGGUUUGUUCUCACAGCCACCAGACAAAGUUGGGAAACCAAUGGAAACCCUGAAAAAAGUGAAUGUAAGCACAAAACCAUCAUAUCAAGUCACUGAAUCAGUGGAGGUAACACCAAGUCCUCAGCAUCAAGUUAUGAAAUCAAAGAUAACCUCAAGACCACCGAAUCAAGUCACAGAUAAUACGAAGGUAACUCCUGUAGCAUUGCUUCAAGUCAUGGAUUCUAUGGGGAUGAUUAAUAAGUCACAUGCACAUAUCAUAGAAUCAGUGGGAAUAACCCCAAGAACAUCAUCUCAAGCCAUGGAAUCAGGGGAAAUCAACACAUUGUUGGACCAUGAAGUCAUACCACCAGGAAAGAUGAGUCCAAAGGCACAACAUGCAGUUGUGGAAACUGUGGAAAUCACUGUAGGACUGCAGCCUGAAGUUAGUGAUUCAGUGGACAUAACCUCAAAGCCACCAAGUCAAAUCAUAGAACCACUGAAGGUUCCUUCAGAGGCAGUAUGUCAAACCACAAGAUCACUGGAAAUGAUCUCCAGUCCAUUGCAUCAAGUUAUGGAUUACACAAAAGUAACUCCAGUGGCACUAUUACAAGCUAUGGAUUUCAUGGGGAUAAUUCCACCAGCACAGCCACAUAUUAUAGAAUCUGGAGAUUCACAAUCUAAAAUUGCAAAUUUGGCCCCAGGAGCAACUCAGCCAGAUGGUUUGACUUCUUUUAGCUCUCCUCCUACUAUUGGUCCACCUGGAGUUGUAGAAUCUGUGGGUUUACCCCCAAAGCCCCCACUUAAAGUUACAGAAUCAGUAGGGAUGAUUCCAAUGCCAUCACAUCAAUCCAUACAUUCUUUAAAGGUAGCUCCAGUAGCACUGGAGUCACCCAUGGGAAUGAUCAUAGCACCACAAUCACAAGUUGCGGAAACUCAGGAUUUGACCACAAGGCCAGUAUCUCAAGUCAAGGAAUCUCUGGAGUUGACUCCUGGGUCAUGGAUUCAAGUGCUAGACUCUGUGGAGAUGACUCCACAACCAUAUCAUCAAGGCACAGAUACUAUGGAAUUAACCCCAGGGCUACCUCAUCAAGUCAUGGAAUCUCCAAGGUUGACCCAGUGGCAUCAAAUCUUAGAAUCUUCAGAGAUGAGUCCAAGGCAAAGCCGUCAAAUUAUAGAAACUAUGGAGUUGGCCUCUGACCCUGUAAUCAGAAAUCUGACUGAGUCGACACAGUCACAGCAUCAAAUAAUGGAACCUUUAGGGACAGUCCCAAGGUCACUGGGUCAAAGUACAGCAUCUAAGGGAAUGAGCCAAAAGCCACUGCAUCAAGUCACAGAAUCUGCAGGAAUGACCACUCCAUCACUGCUUCCAGGUGUAGAAUAUUUGGGGGUGAAGCCAAUGCCACAACUUAAGGCUAUGGAUUCUAUGAAGUUAUCCCCAGGAUUGCAAAAUGUAAAAUCUAUAGACAUAACCCCAGGUCCAGUCCCACAAAUGGUAAAAUAUGGACAGCUAAUCCCAACUGUGAACCCUAGAGAAUUGGUCCCAGAACUUCAACUGCAGAUUGUAAAAUCUAAUGAGUUGGCCCCUAUUCCACAGCUGGAAAGUGAGAAUUCUGUGCAGUUAGCCCCAGGGUCUCAGCUUCAAGGUGUGAAAUCUAUUCAUUUAACCCUAGGAACACAACAACAACGUGGAAAAUCUGCUGAGUUAGCCCCAGCACCACAGUUGCAAAAAAGGAAAUCACUAGAUUUGAACUCCAGUUCACGGUUGCAAGGUCUGGAAUAUGUUCAUUCGGCCCUACCACCAGAGUUUCCAGAUAUAAAAGCUGUGGAGUUGACCCUAAGACCACUACAGAAAGAUAUGAAAUCUGUGGAGUUGGCCCCAAAGCCAUGGUUACAAGAUGAAAGAUCUAAGGAGAAAGCCCCAGUACUAUUGCUUAAAGAUAUGAAAAUUCCUCAAAUGGUAGGAUGUAGAAAGUUGAUUCCCAAAACACAGGUAGGAGGUAUGAAAUAUGAGGAGCCGAUCGCAGCAGCACACAUUCAAGCAGUAAAAUCUGUAGAGCUGAACCUCAUGCCAAAUCAUCAAGCCAGAGAACGUGAAGGAUUGACCCCAUGGCAUCAAACUUUAGAAUCUUCAGAAAUGAUCACAGAGCCGCGAUAUCAAGGAGCAGAAGCAGAGUUGACCUCUGACACUUGUCACCACAGGAAAGAAUCUAUGGAGUUGAAAAAAUCAUCUUUAAGAAGUACUCCAGGGCCAUUGAGUCAGACUUCAGAAUCUAUGCAGGUGAACUCAGUGCCAUUCCAAAGUGCUCUUGAGACAAUGCUCCAAGGUGUAAAAGCCUUGGAGACUCGAGGGUCUCAACACAUAAUACAAGAAUCUCCAGAGUUGGUACCAGGAUCAGAGAUGCAAGGAAUGAACCCAGAAGUGUUGAACCCAGAGUCCCAAGGUAUGAAGUUUGUUCAUCUGAAUCUAGGACCAUAUUCAGAAUUUAUGAACUAUAAGGAGUUGACCUCAGAACCACAAUUUCAAGGUGUGAAAUUUGUGCCAUUGACCUCAGAACUGCAGCCCCAAAGUACAAAACCUGAGGUGUUGACUCUAGGCCCAUUAAUGCAUGGUAAUACAUUUAUGGAUUUAACUGUACCACUGGAAGAAUCUAGGAGGUUAAUUCCUGAAACACACUUACAUGUUGAAUCAAGGAAACUAACCAUGGAACCACACUUACAAGCAAUGAAAUCUGUGGGUCCAACUUCUAGACCAAGGCAUCAAGACACAGCAUCUGCAGAGUUAUAUUCUGAGACCUGGCCACAAGAGGAGGAAUCUGUGAAAUUAAUCCCACAGCAAGUCGUGGAAACUACUGGGAUGAUGCCCAGGCCAUGUUUUCAAAAAUUUUCAGAGAUGACUCCGGGGCCAGGCUAUCAAGACACAGAAACUGCGAGGCUGGUUUCUGAGGCUUUGCUCCAAGUGGCAUUAACACAAAAACCAACAGGUCAAGUUAUAGAAUCUACAGGAAUGACUCUAAAACCACACCUUCAAGUUUUUGAGCCUUCAGAGAUAUCCCUAAGGUCAGAAUAUGAAAACACAGAAUCUUUUGGGUUGGCAUCGUUUCAAGUUGAAAAUAUCCAGGAGACAAUGCCAGUACCACCAUAUUCAGUAAAAGGAUCUCCAGAAUUGACUUUAGGACCAGGGAUGCAAUAUGAGAAAUCAGAGACACUAAUGCAAAAUUUGAAAUCUGUGACGUUAACCCCUGAGUCAUCCCCAUUAGUGGUAGGAUCUAAACAAUUUAUCACAGGACCAAAACUACAUGUUCUGGAGCCACAGUUCCAGGGAGUAAAGUCUAUGCAGCUGGAUCCAGAGCCACAAUUACAGGAUGUGGAAUACGUUAAUUUAAUCCAACAACCAGCUACUACUGGAAUGGUAGAAUCUGAGAAGCUGGUACAAGAACCAGUACUACAAAGUAUAAUAUCAGAGGAAUUGACUAAGGGGGCACAGCUUCAAGGUGUGAAAUUGACCCCAGGGCCACAUUUGCAAAGUGUCAGAUUUUCAAAGUCAUCGCCAGGGCCACUUCUUCAAGGAGAAAAAUCUGUAGAUUUAAUCUCAGGGUCACUACAUCAUAGUGUGAAAUCUGAUGAACUGACCCCAGGUUCCCCAAUGCAAGAAAUCAAAUUGUCAGAUUUUAUCCCAGGGCCGAAGCAUCAAAGUGUUAUGUCUGUACAAUUGUCUCCAGAACCACAAACUCAAGGUAUGAAAUUUGUGGGACAAAACUCAGGACCAUGCUUGCAAGAUGUCAGGUUUUCUGAUUUGACCUCAGCACCAAAUCAUCAAGGUUUCAAACAUGUGCAAUGUAUACCGGGAACACAGCUUCAAGAUAUACAGUCCUUAGGAUUUGUAACAGAAUUAUCUUUGCAAUCAAGCCAAGGGCUCUUGAGUGAAAAUAUGAAAUCUCUUCUGUCUAUUGAAGGAUCACAGUUUCACAGCAUGGAAUCUAUGAAAUUGACCUCAGAACUACAGUUUCAAGGUGUGGAGUCUCAGGAAUUGAACCUAGGACCAAGACAGCAAGAUGUCAAAUUUUCUGAACUGACUUCAGGGCCAAAGCUUCAAGGUGUCAAAUUUGGGGAGCAAACCCCAGGAUCAGUGUUUCAAGGUGUGAAUUCUGUGGAGAUGACUCCAGAUUUAGGGCUUCAAGAAUCUAAAUUAGCAAAGACGUCUCCAGGGCCUCAAGAUAUAAAACAGGUGGGGCUUAACCCAGGGCCAUGGCUACAAGAUGUCAAAUUUUGUGAUCUGACAUCAGGAAUUCAACCUCAAGGUGUGAAAUCUUCAGACUUAAACUCAGGGCCACAACUCCAAUAUGCGAAAUUUUUUGAGUUGUCCCCAAAGCCAAAGAUGCAAGGAGUAAGAUCUGUGGGGUUGUCCCCAGGACCUCAAAAGCAAGUGGUCAAGCCUGAGAUGUUACCAGAGACACUGUUUCAAGGUGUAAAAAAUUUAGUGAUGGAUCAAAUGUCAAAUCUGGAAGGUAACGUUUCUUACAAAAUUGUCUCCCAGCCACAGAAACCAGAUGCAAAAUCUAUGGAGUUGACUCCUGAGUCACAGUUGCCAAGUGUAAACUAUUCUGAGUUGACUAGAAGACCACAGUUUCAAGGUAUAAAAUCUUCUGAAUUGAUCCAAGGGCCACAGGUGGGAGGUGUGAAACCAAUGGAGCUGACCCCAGGCUCAAAACUUCAAGGUUUAAAAUCUGAGUUGUUGAUCUCUGAGCUGAAAGAUGUGAAAUCUAUGGCCUUAACUACAGGACAGUGUCUAAAAGGUAUGAAAUCUAUGUUGCUAACCCCCAGUCCACAGCUGGAGGGUGAGAAAUCUGUGGAGAUAACUGCAGUACCAUGGAUAGAACAUGUCAAAUCUGUGAAAAACACCGAAGAUACCAAGCUUCAAGGUGCAAAAUCUGACUUGAUUCUGCAUGCAAGAAUUCAAGAAUCCAAAGCUGUGGAAACUGUGGAAUUGAAAUUUGGGCCAAAGAUGCAAGGUGAGAAAUCUGUGCCUUUUGCACCAGGGCCAUUGCUCCAAGGGUCUGAACUGCAAGGUGUGAAACCUGAGGAACUGACUUUAGAGCCACAAACGCAAGAUACAAAAUUUGUCGACAGUACCCCAUGUUUAAAGCAUCAAAAUUUAAAAUCUGUAGAGGAAACUCUAGAUUCAGAGCAGCAAUGUGUAAAAUCUGUGAAGUUGACCCCAAGGCUAAAGAACCAGGAAGUAAAAUCUGUGAAAGUGACCAGAAGACCAAAGUUUCAAGGAGUAAAAGCUGUGGAUUUAGCCCCAAGGCAACAGUUUCAAGGGACGGCACUUGCAAAUUUAAUUUCUGGACGGGAACAGGAUGGCACGAUAUCUGUAAUCUCACCAAAGCAGCAAUGUGUGAAUUCAGAGCAAUUGAAGAGAGGGGCUAAGUCAGAUGAUGGGAUGUCUUUGGAGUUAAGUCCAGAGCUAAAACUUGAAGGUAAAAAAUUAGUAGACCUCAAUUUUGAGUUACAGUUUGAAAGUAUGAAAUCAUUUGAAUUGACUUCAGAAUCAAAUAUUCAAGGUUUAAAACCUAAAGAAUUCAAACUUGAACCACUUGAACCACAGUUGCAAAGCAUAAAGUCUCCUAAGUUGACCCCAGGGCCACCGUUGCACCAAAUAAAACCCUCAGAGUCAGCUUCAGAACCACAACUUUGUGUAAAAACUGCUGAGUUAAAACAAGAGCCACUGCUUGAAAGUAUGAGAUGUAUUCAGUGGAUACCAGGACCUAAGUUCCAAGCUGUGAAAUCUGUAGAGUUAAAUCUCGGGUCACAGUCUCAAAGUGUUAAAUCUGUAGGGUUGAAAUCUUCGAUACAGUUAAGAGAUAUGAAGUCAUCUGAAUUGACUCUAGGGCCAAAAACUCAAGGUGCAACAUAUACAGAGUUCAACCUUGGGCCACAGCUGCAGAACGUGAAAACCCCUGAGGUGCUUCCAGGACCACAGCUGCAAAAAGGGAAGGCUUUGGCAUCAACCUCAGAGCCACAGCUUCAAGAUGUAAAAACUAUUGAGUUAAAAAAAGAGCCACAGCUGGAAAGUAUGAGAUGUAUUCAGUGGAUACCAGGACCUGAUUUCCAAGGUGUGAAGUCUAUAGGGUUACAAUCUCAAGGUGUCAAGUCUGUAGGGUUGAAAUCUUUGAUACGUUUAAGAGAUAGAAAGUCAUCUGUGUUGACUCCAAGGCCAAAGCUCCAAGAUACAGGAUCUUUGGCAUCACUCCAGGAACAUCAGCCUCAAGAUUGCGAUUUGAAACCUUGUCUACAGGUUAGAAGUGUGAAAUCACGUGAUCUGACUUCAGGGUCAAAGCUCUGUGAUAUGAAAUCUAUGCCAUUGAAAUCUAGGCUUUGUGUGCAUGAUAGGAAAUCUCCCAAAUUGACUGCAGAACCAAAGCUUCAAGAAGUGAAACCCUUACAGUCAUCCCCAGGAGCACAGCUUCAAGUUGUGAAGUCUCUAGUGCUUACAGAAGAGCCACAGCUUCCUGACAUGAAAUCUGGGGUAUUAAGCCAAGGGUCACAAUUUCAAAGCAGUACAACUAUAGAGUUGAACUCCCCACUACACUUGAAAUGCAUGAAGUCAUCUGAGUUGACUCUUCAGACAAAGCUUCAAGGUAUGAAAUCUGAGAAUUUCAACUCAGGGUCACAGUGGCAAGAUCUAAAAUCUUCUAAGUUGUCACCUGAGAUAAAGUCCCAAGAUAUGACAUUUACUGAGUCAAAUCCAAGUUCACAGUUGGAAGGUAUAACAUUUUCUAAACUGACUGCAGGGACAAAGAUUCAAGGUACCAAAUGUACAGAUUUCAACCUUGGGCCAUCAUUACAAGGUGUGAAUUCUUCUAAAAGGACCUCAAAGACAAAGCUUCAAAAUGUAAAACAUAAAGAAAGCUGCCCCAGUCCCCAGGUGCAAGUUGUGAAAUCUGACCUGAGCCUGGGAUCAAAGCUUCAAAAUGUGAAAUUGGUGUUCAACCCUGAGCCACAAUUUCAAGGAGUGAAAUGUUCUAAAUUAAUCUCAGAAACAAAGUUUCAAGAUGUGGAAUCUGCGAAGUUCAAACCUGGGCCACAGCUGAGAGGUGUGAAAUCUUCUGAACUGAUACUAGGGACAAAACUUCAAAAAGUGAAAUCCAUGGAUUUCAAGUCAGGCCCACAGUUGCAAGAUAUGAAAUCUUCUAGGUUGAUCAUGGGUAUAAAACUUCAAGAUGUAAAAUCUAUGAAUUUCAAGUCUGGACCACACUUGCAGGAUGUGAAAUCUUCUCAAGUCAUCUCAAGGGAAAAGUUUCAAGGUGUGAAAUCUGUGGAAUUGAAAUCUAGUCCAAAGUUACAAGGUGAGAAAUCUUCUGAUUUGACCCCAGGGAGGAAGUUUUCAGGUGUGAAAUCAGGCUCACAGUUACAAGAUGUGAAAUGUUCUGAGUUGAUCAUGGGUAUAAAGCUUCAAGAUAAAAAAUCUGCAGGGUUCAGUUCUAGAUCACACUUUCAAGGUCUGAAAACUUCUGAAGUGAUCCCAGGGCCAAAGCUUCAAGAAGUGAAAUCCUCUGAGUUCAACCAUGGUCCAAAGCUACAAGGUGGGAAAUCUGAUUUGACUCAGAAGAGGAAGCUUCCAGGUGUGAAAUCUGUGGAGUUCAACCCUGGACCACAGAGACAAGGUGGGAAAUCUGAUUUGAUGCUAGAGUAUAGGCUUCAAGAUUUGCAAUCUGUUGAGUUAAAACCUAUUCCACGGUUACAAGGUGUAACAUCUUCUGAGGUAACACCAAAAACAAAGCUUCAAAGUGGAGAAUCUGUGGAGUUCCUUACCAGACCCAUGCAGCAAGAUAUGAAAUCUCUUGAAUUGACUCUAGGUGCAAAGGCCCAAGAUAUGAAAUCUUUGGGGUUUGAGUCAGGCCCACAGUUACAAAAUAGGAAAUUGCCUAUGUUGACACCAGGGGCACACCUUCAAGGUAUGAAAUCUAUGAAAUUCAACCCUGGGGCAAAGUUCCAAGGUGCAAAAUCUCCUGAGUCCAUAAAGCUUCAAAUAAUGAAAACCACAGAGGUCAACCGCGACCUAGAAUUCCAGGUUGCAAAACCCUCUGAGUUAGCCUUGGAAUCAAAGAUUUGCAGUGUGAUAUCUUCUGAGUUCAAAGCUGGGAAGCAGUGGCAAGAAGAGAAAUCUUUGAAGUUGAAACCAUGGCCAGAGCUUCAGAGUGUGAAAUUUGUGGUCUACAAUCCUGGACCACAUUUGCAACAUAUAAAAUCUUCAGAAUUAUGUAAAGAGACAAAGCUUCAAGAUGUGAAAUCUAGGGAAUUUAAUCCUGAGCAACAGUUACAAGAUGUGAAAUCUUCUGAGUUAUGCCAGGGAUCAAGGCUUCAAGGUAUGCCAUCAUUAGAGUUCAAUCCUGGGCCACAGUUACAAGAGAUAAAAUCUGAGUUGUGUACAGACAUGAAGCUUCCAUAUGAGCAAUUUCUGGAAUUCAAGCAUCAGCCUAAAUUACAAGGUGGGAAAUCCUCUGAAUUGAAUCCAGGGCCACAGCUUCAGUGUGUAAAUGUUAGGGCAUUCAGCACUGGGCCACAAUUGAAAGAGCCACUGCUUGAAGAUGUAAAGUUUGGGAAGAUAAACAAAGAGCCAUUGCUUUGUGAUGCAAAUUCUGUGAAACUGAUUUCAGGCUCUGAGCUGCAGAACUGGAAAUGUGAGAUGUUUGCACUAGAGCCAUGUUUAAAAGAAAUGAAAUCUGUGGCGUUAAAUCCAGGGCCACAUCCUCAAGGUAUGAAUUCUGGGGACUUGCCCUCACACCUCAGGCUGCACAGUGUGAGAUCUGUGGUGUUUGCACCAAAGCUGUGUUUUCAAGAUGUGAAAUCUCUGGAGUUGAAACCAAGGCCACAACCUCAAGAUGUGAAUUCUAAGGAUUUGAUUUCUUGCCUCAGGCAGAAAUCCGUGGUGUUUGAAUCAGAGCCAUGUUCUCAAGAUGUGACAUCUUUGAAGUCAAACCUAUUGCCACAGCCUCAAAGUGCUAAUUCUUUAGGGUUGUCAUCAGGUCUAAGGUCACCAAGUGUUAACUCUGAGGUCUUUGCACCAGAACCAUGUUUUCAAGAUGUGAAAUUCGUAGAGUUGACACCAGGGUCCCAACAGCAAGGUAUGAAUUGCCGAGAGUUGAUUUCAGGAUGGCAAGGUAUGAAAUCAGUGGUGUUGGCACCAGAGCCAAAUAAGAAGUUCAUACCAGGACCAAUGUUGAGUAGUGUUAAAUUUUCAAAUUUGUCUCUAGAAUCACAGCAACAAGGUGAGAAACCUUUGGAGUUUACUCCAGAACCAAAGUUUCAAAGUAUAAAACAUGUGAAAUUGUCUUCAGUAUCUCUGCAACAAGAUAUAAAAUCUGCAGAGUUACCACCGGGGUCACUGCUUCAAAGAACAAAAUCUGAGGAGCUAACUCCAAAAAGAAGCUAUCAAAUCACAGACUCCUCUGAGAUAAUCCCUAGGCCAGAGCUUCAGUUUGUAGAACAUGCAGAGAUGAUCCCAACACCAAAGCAUCAGAUCUCUAAAUCUGUGAAUUUGAUUUCAAUACCAGUUUAUCACAUCACAGAAAGGUUGGCACAUCAAGGCAGAGAAACUGUAGAAAAAUCUGUGGGGUUCACCCCAAAGCCAACAAGUAAAGCCAUGGAAUCUUCAGGAGUGCCUCUAAGGCUAGAUCUUCAAGUACCAGAAUCUGUUGAUCUGACUCCUGUGCUAAGAAAGCAAGACUCUAAAUCCUUAGAGUUAACCCUAAAGAAAAUCCCAGAAACUCUAGAGUUGCUCUCUCAGUCAUGGCCUCAAGUUAAGGAUUUGGGGGAGUCACAUACAAGGCCACUGCAGCAAGUUGUAGGAUCUGAAGAGAUGACACCAGAGCCCAAGCAUCACACUACAGAAACUAUGGGGUUGACCUCCAAGGCAGGGCCAAAAGGGAAGGAAUUCUUUGGAAUGACCCCAAAGCCAAUAAGUAAAACCACUGGAUAUGCAGAGAGAGUUCUAAGGCCCUAUCCUCAAGCACUAGAAUUUGUGGAGAUGAUCUCUGAGAAAAGACUGCAAAGGGAAGAAUUGGAAGCACUGACUACAAAGUCAUUACAUCAUGUCCCAGAAUCUCCAGAGGUGACACCAGGGCUAGGAUAUCAAGUUCCUGAAUCUGUGGGUUCAACCUCUAAGCAAUGGCUUCAAAGAGAGGAAUCUUUAGAUUUGCCUCCAAAGCAAAGAGGUCAAGUUGCAGGACAUGCAGAAUCUGGAGAGCUCACAUCUGAGACAUGGCAGCAAGGGGAUAGAUCAAUGGGGCUGACAGAGUCACAGAAUCAACGCAUGAAAUAUUCACAGACAGCUCCAGGACUACGGAGUCAAAUUACAGAAUUUAUGAGGAUUACUCCAAAGCCACUAGAUCAAGUCACAGGAUCUACAAACAUGCAGCUUCAAGCUGCUCAACCAAUAGGAAUAACCCCAGUAGCCCCCCCAAAAGUUAUUGAAUAUGUGAAAGUGACUCCUGGGCCACCACUUCAGGUUGUGAAGUCUGUAGCAUUAACACCAGGGCCAGCCUCUCAAAUGGUAGACUAUGUUGAGUUGACUCCAAAACUGCAACAUGUGAGACCUUCUGAGUUUACCCCAGGGCUAUUGUUGCAAAGUGUAAAAUCAAAGGAAUUAACCACAGAGCCAAAACACCAAAUUUUGGAAAUAAUGAAGUUGGCAGGGUUUCAAAUUGUAAAGACUGUGUUAAUCCCAGGGCCACCACUUCAAAUUGUAAAAUCUGAGGAAUUAGCACCAGGACCAAUUCCUCAGAUUGUAGAACCAAUAGGAGUAGCUUUAGGAUCAGCUAUUGAUUGUUUGGAUUUAUUCCCAAGGCCACAUCUUCAUGAAAUGGUAGAACCUGUAGAAUUAACUCCAAGGCCAAAUACCGAAGUAAAAUCUGCAGAAUUACUCUCACAGUCAGCAUUUUCAUUUGAGGAACCUAGUGUGUUCACUCAUGAACAAGGGCUUCAAGCUGUGAAAGCAAUAGGGACAAAAACAGGGCUUCCUCAAAGCAUGGAAUGUAAGGAUUUGAAUCUAGCACAGGUAUAUCAGAAUAGGGAAUCUGAGGAUUUUAUGUCAAUAGAGAAGUUACAAAUAGGAAAUUAUUUCUCUAGAUUUCUACAGAACUCUUCAAACUCACUCAUCCCAAGCUCUGUCGAAGCAUCUGAAUUAGGAAGCCUUUGUGAUUUGGAGAUGCCAGAAGUAUCAAGGGUCUUGGAUAUAAAAAACCUUGGGACAGAUAUUUUGCAGCCUGAAGAGUCCUUUAUAGACCCUACUAUGAUACAAGCUUCAACCCUUCCCUUGUCCCUUCACAAUCAACCCUCUGAUAAGAUAGCUAACAUUGUAGAAACCCCACAUUUUGAGAUCCCAGGAGUGGGUGUCAUAUCUAAGAGGAUGGAUAAGAAGCAGGUGGAAAAGCUAGAGAAUUCACUCCAGCGCCUAUCCCAACAUCCACUGCAAAGCUGGCGAUCACCAUCUAGGACCUUCCAGUCAGGAUCAGGAACUCAAAGAGGCUUUACCUGGUCUGUCCUGGGCAGACAACAGAAUGUCUGGGAGAAUCACUCCUGGAGACAGCGACUACCUAGAAAAUAUCUCUCCAACAUGCUAAUGCUGGGGAAUGUCUUGGGAACCACUAUGGAAAGGAAGCUUUGUUCUCAAACAUCUUUAAGGGGAAGAGCGACUGAAGAUAUCUGUCAAUCUAUUCAGAAUUUAUUUGGGGUUCCAGCUGAACUGAUGGAAUUUUCCCAGAGUCUGCUAGAGAAGAGUCGAAGUAUUAUUUCUCAGACUUCAGUGUCCAAAAACUACAUUCAGAGACACACUUCAUGCCAUGGUCAUGAGCAAAGAAUAGCCUUAAGGAUGUGGACACGUAGCUCCCUGUCCUCCAUAAUACAGCAAUACUCUGGGACUAGAAUGAGAAUAAAGAAAAGUUCGAAGCUCAGUGAUAUAUCCCAGGAAGUCACUCAGCACAUGCCUGUUUUAUGUACAGGGGGCCAGCCUCCCGCCCCAGGAAGUUUAGAGUCUUCCUUCAACAUAGUUUUCACUGGGAAAGAUUCUGUUCCAGUGGAAGAGAGUGAGAACUCACAGAGUAAUUCACAGGCAAGGAUUUUUGAGUCCCAACAGUGUCUCAAGCCAAGUUAUCUUCCCCAGGCCAAGACUGACUUCUCAGAACAGUUCCAGUUGCUACAAGAUCUGCAGCUAAAAAUAGCAGCAAAACUGUUAAGGAGUCAAAUACCCCCAAAUGUACCUCCACCUCUAACUUCAGGUUUGGUUUUAAAAUACCCUAUCUGCCUACAGUGUGGCCGAUGUGUAGGAUUUAAUUGCUGUCAUAAAUUACAGGGCACUUUUGGGCCUUACCUUCUUAUCUAUCCACAGCUCCACCUUGUAAGCACUCCUGAAGGCCACGGAGAGAUUAGGUUGCAUCUUGGCUUUAGGUUGCGAACUGGAAAAAGAACCCAAGUCCCAAAGUACCACAAAAGAGACAGACCCAUCACACCAAGGAGUCCUAUAUCACCAUCACUAAGGAAAGCUAAAGUCUAUACUCGAGCUUCCAAGAGUCCUACUUCUACAAUAGAUUUCCAGUCUGGAUCUUCCCAAUCUCCUGUACAAGUCCACAUCAGGCAAAGGCAGUAUAUUGGCCCUGACCUAGGAAAGACAGAAAUUGGAGAGCUGGGGCACUAUGAAUUUACUCAAGUUCACUCUCUACCAGAGAGUGACUCUGAAAGCAAUCAGGAUGAAAAAUGGGCUAAAAGGAGAACCAAAAAGACCCAUAGUUCAAAAUACCCAACGAAAAGAAUCACUAAGGGAGGCAUAACACAAAACACAAAGUUCUACACGAAUGGUAGAACCACAAUACAGAGUCCUUCCAGGGACUUACCAGCCCAGUUAAGAAGGAAAAGGAAUGGAGCAUCUCACACAAUUACUGCCUCUUUAAAAAGACAAUCUAAGAAAUCCUCCCAACCCAAAUUCAUUCAGCUGCUUUUUCAAGGCCUAAAGCAAGCAUUCCAGGUAGCACACAGAAUUAUGGCUUUUGCUGGGCCAAAGCCUAAGGACAGGUCAAGGCCAGACCAUUUGCGCUCAAGCAAAAACCACCAUCUAAAACAAAAAGCCAGAGAUUAUUCCUUAUCAAGAGAUAUCAAAAGAGACAGGAUGCCAGUUGUUAAGCUAAAACCAACAGACAUAACCACUAAGCAGGAGAAGAUAUUAUGGGAAGAAACAGAGCAAUUCAGAUCAGCUCAACAACCAAAAAGAGAUAGCUCUUUCCAACUCAGACGUACCCAACUGCCCAAGCCCAUAGUUUCCCAAAGAAGUGCCAUUUUCAAAACCACUUCAGUCGGACAGUGUAUGGGUAUUGUUCAAAAUGACAGUAGCAGCAAAGCUAAGAAAAACUUCUGCAGAAGUGAAAUCUCUAGCCAGGAGUCCAAGAACUCCAAAACAGGGACCAGAGUUCAAGACCGAGGGAGAAAUCUACAUGGUUCACUUAAGAGAACCUCACAGAGUCACCUUAAAGAGAAACUCAUGCUCAAGAAGCGAAAACACCGUAGCUUCUUAAGGGAGAGAACCCCAUGUAAUUCCUCUGAAAGGAGCCAUCGCAGUCCCUCUGAGAGGAGAUGUCACAGUCCCUCUGAGAGAUGUCGCAGUCCCUCUGAGAGGAGCCAUCGAAGUCCUUCUCUAAAGAGCCACCAGAGUCCCUCUGAGGGGAGCCGUCGAAGUCCUUCUCUAAAGAGCCACCAGAGUCCCUCUGAGGGGAGCCGUCGAAGUCCUUCUCUAAAGAGCCACCAGAGUCCCUCUGAGAGGAGCCGUCAAAGUCCUUCUCUAAAGAGCCGUCACAGUCCCUCUGAGAGGAGCCAUCAGAGUCCCUCUGAGAAGAGAUGUCGCAGUCCCUCUGAGAGGAGAUGUCGCAGUCCCUCUGAGAGGAGCCAUCGAAGUCCUUCUCUAAAGAGCCAUCACAGUCCCUCUGAAAGGAGCCAUCGCAGUCCCUCUGAGAGGAGCCAUCGAAGUCCUUCUCUAAAGAGCCAUCACAGUCCCUCUGAGAGGAGCCGUCGAAGUCCUUCUCUAAAGAGCCACCAGAGUCCCUCCGAGAGGAGCCGUCGAAGUCCUUCUCUAAAGAGCCACCAGAGUCCCUCUGAGAGGAGCCGUCGAAGUCCUUCUCUAAAGAGCCACCACAGCCCCUGUGAGAGGAGACAUCGACAUCCUUCUCUAAAGAGCCAUCACAGUCCCUCUGAAAGGAGCCAUCAGAGUCCCUCUGAGAAGAGAUGUCGCAGUCCCUCUGAGAGGAGCGCAAGCCAUCACAGUCCCUCUGAAAGGAGCCAUCAGAGUCCCUCUGAGAAGAGAUGUCGCAGUCCCUCUGAGAGGAGCCAUCGAAGUCCUUCUCUAAAGAGCCAUCACAGUCCCUCUGAAAGGAGCCAUCAGAGUCCCUCUGAGAAGAGAUGUCGCAGUCCCUCUAAGAGGAGAUGUCACAGUCCCUCUGAGAGGAGCCAUCGAAGUCCUUCUCUAAAGAGCCACCAGAGUCCCUCUGAGAGGAGCUGUCAAAGUCCUUCUCUAAAGAGCCACCAGAGUCCCUCUGAGAGGAAUCAUCGAAGUCCUUCUCUAAAGAGCCGUCACAGUCCCUCUGAAAGGAGCCAUCAGAGUUCCUCUGAGAAGAGAUGUCGCAGUCCCUCUGAGAGGAGAUGUCGCAGCCCCUCUGAGAGGAGAUGUCACAGUCCCUCUGAGAAGAGCCAUCGCAGUCUCCUUCAGAAAACUCAUCACAGUCCCUUAGAGGGGAGAGGACACAGCCCUUUUGAGAGAAGACAGCACAGGCCCUCUGAGAGGAGCGGUCGCAGUUCCUCAGACAGAAAUCAUUGUAGUCUCUCUGAAAGAAGCGGACACAGGCACUCUGAGAGGAGCAGACACAGUCAUUCUGAGGAGAGCCAACACAGCCACUCUGAAAGGGGCCAACAUAGUUGGUCUGACAAAACCCAUCUCAGUCCCUCUGAGAGAACGCGUCACAGUCCCGCUAAGGAGAGACUCAAGCACAGCUCCCCUAGGGAGAGGCUCAGACAUAGUCUGUCUAAAGAUUGCAAGGGUUACUCAAACACAUCUCCUAGGGACCACACACAAAAUACUCCAAAGCAGGGCAAGUUUAGAGGCCUGAAGCUAACAGAUGA
RNA transcript from Odobenus rosmarus divergens (Pacific walrus), 15695 nucleotides. RefSeq lists it as uncharacterized. NCBI's taxonomy places the organism in Eukaryota, Metazoa, Chordata, Mammalia, Carnivora, Odobenidae. The transcript has 4 exons. The record is from RefSeq and is a predicted model, not a curated record.